RNAcentral lists this ribosomal RNA (403 nucleotides) under Papilio theseus javanus. RNAcentral describes it as "partial 16S ribosomal RNA". Lineage: Eukaryota; Metazoa; Arthropoda; Insecta; Lepidoptera; Papilionidae. The record is from RNAcentral.
GGGCUGCAGUAUUUUGACUGUACAAAGGUAGCAUAAUCAAUAGUCUCUUAAUUAGUGACUUGUAUGAAAGAUUGGAUGAAAUAUAUUCUGUCUCUAAUUAAUUUAUAGAAAUUAAUUUUUUAGUAAAAAAGCUAAAAUAAUUUUAAAAGACGAGAAGACCCUAUAGAGUUUAAUAAUUUAUUUAAUUAUUAUUAAUAUAUAAUUUUUAAAAUUAAAAUUAAAUAAAUUAUUUUGUUGGGGUGACAGAAAAAUUAAAUUAACUUUUUUUAUUUAUUAACAUUAAUUUAUGAUUAGAUGAUCCAUUAAUAAUGAUUAAAAGAAAAAAUUACCUUAGGGAUAACAGCGUAAUUUUUUUUUUUAGUUCAAAUAGGAAAAAAAGUUUGCGACCUCGAUGUUGGAUUAA